Molecule: transfer RNA, 74 nt
Filed under: Amycolatopsis carbonis
Lineage: Bacteria; Bacillati; Actinomycetota; Actinomycetes; Pseudonocardiales; Pseudonocardiaceae
Also listed under: 2 other names
Description: Amycolatopsis sp. 2-15 tRNA-Leu
Rfam family: tRNA
About the family: Transfer RNA (tRNA) molecules are approximately 80 nucleotides in length. Their secondary structure includes four short double-helical elements and three loops (D, anti-codon, and T loops). Further hydrogen bonds mediate the characteristic L-shaped molecular structure. tRNAs have two regions of fundamental functional importance: the anti-codon, which is responsible for specific mRNA codon recognition, and the 3' end, to which the tRNAs corresponding amino acid is attached (by aminoacyl-tRNA synthetases). tRNAs cope with the degeneracy of the genetic code in two manners: having more than one tRNA (with a specific anti-codon) for a particular amino acid; and 'wobble' base-pairing, i.e. permitting non-standard base-pairing at the 3rd anti-codon position.
Source: RNAcentral
GCGGUUGUAGCCCAACUGGCAGAGGCACCUGGCUGAGGGCCAGGCCAGUCGGGGUUCGAAUCCCCGCAACCGCA